CCUACGGGAGGCAGCAGUAGGGAAUAUUGCUCAAUGGGGGAAACCCUGAAGCAGCAACGCCGCGUGGAGGAUGAAGGUUUUCGGAUUGUAAACUCCUUUUGUUAGAGAAGAUAAUGACGGUAUCUAACGAAUAAGCACCGGCUAACUCCGUACCAGCAGCCGCGGUAAUACGGAGGGUGCAAGCGUUAUUCGGAAUCACUGGGCGUAAAGAGCGCGUAGGCGGGAUAGCAAGUCAGAUGUGAAAUCCUAGGGCUUAACCAUAGAACUGCAUUUGAAACUGUGAUUCUAGAGUAUGGGAGAGGUAGGUGGAAUUCUUGGUGUAGGGGUAAAAUCCGUAGAGAUCAAGAGGAAUACUCAUUGCGAAGGCGACCUGCUAGAACAUAACUGACGCUGAUGCGCGAAAGCGUGGGGAGCAAACAGGAUUAGAUACCCGAGUAGUC
RNAcentral lists this ribosomal RNA (440 nucleotides) under uncultured bacterium. Its description in RNAcentral is "partial 16S ribosomal RNA". It matches the Rfam family "Bacterial small subunit ribosomal RNA", at positions 338 to 795 of the family's 1533-position model. The record is from RNAcentral.